Molecule: ribosomal RNA, 407 nt
Filed under: uncultured bacterium
Lineage: Bacteria
Description: bacterial SSU rRNA
Rfam family: Bacterial small subunit ribosomal RNA
Source: RNAcentral
UGGGGAAUAUUGGGCAAUGGGGGAAACCCUGACCCAGCAACGCCGCGUGAGGGAGGAAGGCCUUCGGGUUGUAAACCUCUGUCCUUGGGGACGAAAAAAAUGACGGUACCCAAGGAGGAAGCUCCGGCUAACUACGUGCCAGCAGCCGCGGUAAUACGUAGGGAGCAAGCGUUGUCCGGAAUUACUGGGCGUAAAGGGUGCGUAGGCGGCACAUUAAGUCAGAUGUGAAAUACCCGGGCUUAACUCGGGGGGUGCAUCUGAUACUGGUGAGCUUGAGUGCAGGAGAGGAAAGCGGAAUUCCUAGUGUAGCGGUGAAAUGCGUAGAUAUUAGGAGGAACAUCAGUGGCGAAGGCGGCUUUCUGGACUGUAACUGACGCUGAGGCACGAAAGCGUGGGGAGCAAACAGG